UACGGAGGGUGCAAGCGUUGUUCGGAAUCACUGGGCGUAAAGCGCGUGUAGGUGGUCUUUUAAGUCUGGUGUGAAAGCCCGGGGCUUACCCCCGGAAGGGCACUGGAUACUGGGAGACUAGAGUACCGGAGAGGAAGGUGGAAUUCCUGGUGUAGCGGUGAAAUGCGUAGAUAUCUGGAGGAACACCGUUGGCGAAGGCGAGCUUCUGGGCUGUCUCUGACGCUCAAGCGCGAAAGCUGGGGGAGCAAACAGG
Molecule: ribosomal RNA, 253 nt
Filed under: uncultured bacterium
Lineage: Bacteria
Description: partial 16S ribosomal RNA
Rfam family: Bacterial small subunit ribosomal RNA
Source: RNAcentral